Molecule: ribosomal RNA, 464 nt
Filed under: uncultured bacterium
Lineage: Bacteria
Description: partial 16S ribosomal RNA
Rfam family: Bacterial small subunit ribosomal RNA
Source: RNAcentral
CUACGGGUCGCUCCAGUGAGGAAUUUUGCGCAAUGGGGGAAACCCUGACGCAGCAACGCCGCGUGAGCGAAGAAGGCCCUCGGGUCGUAAAGCUCUGUCAAGUGGGAAAAAAAUCUUUUGAUCAAUAGUCAAAAGACUUGAUGGUACCACUGGAGGAAGCACCGGCGAACUCCGUGCCAGCAGCCGCGGUAAUACGGAGGGUGCAAGCGUUGUUCGGAUUUACUGGGCGUAAAGAGCGUGUAGGCGGUUUAGCAAGUCAGAUGUGAAAGCCCUGGGCUCAACCCGGGAAGUGCAUUUGAAACUGCUUCACUAGAGUAUGGGAGAGGAGAUUGGAAUUCCUGGUGUAGAGGUGAAAUUCGUAGAUAUCAGGAGGAACACCCGUGGCGAAGGCGAUUCUCUGGACCAAUACUGACGCUGAGACGCGAAAGCGUGGGGAGCAAACAGGAUUAGAUACCCUAGUAGUC